AUGUCGUGAGUCAAAAGAUAGAAACAGAGAGGAGAAUAGAAGAAAAGAAGGAAAGGAAGAAGAGGGGAAGAAAGAGAAGAAGGAAAAGAGAGAGAAGGUUCAGCAACUCACUAUUUCUGCUGCUCUUGCGGCUGUGGCUGCUGCUACUAUCAUGCAUGCAUGCACUCAUGUGCUGUCCACAGUAAGAAGCUGCUACCAAGGUGCUGCUUCAUCUGAGAAAUGAAGUUCAGAACUGCAAGCUGAUGAUAAAGCUACCUACGCACCUCAAGAACACAAGGAAGGAACCUGAAAAUGUGCUCGGCGAGGAUACGCAAGCUUUAGAAUUUAGUGAAGAGCACCAAAUUUGGGGAAAUUCAGAUGAUGGAGCUGGAGCAGUAGUGAAGAAUUGGUGACAUGUUCAAAUACGGAGACAUAUUUGUGGAACACUUGUGGAGGAGGCUCUUGUUGUACAGCAUGUAUUGUAAUUUAAUCGAAUGUAAGAUUUACGCUAUAUUUAUUAUUCCUGUGGAAUUAGUCUUAUAGGCCUGUACUACUAUACAUGUAUCAUUCAUAGGAGGUCACCACAUGUAACUUAUGAUUUUUAUGAAUUUUGUAUGUAAGCUCUGAUUUAAGUGUAGAGUAAAAAUUAGGUUUGGUUACUACCCGCAUCCGGGAUCCUGGGUAUUGUCAGGAUGACUGGAAUGGGUAUUCUAGUGCCGCAUACCUUGGCCUGAAAUGAGGCAGGAUGUGACAUAUAUAUGCAUUGAUGUUGGAUAUUGUAGAUGUUUUGAACAUUAGAUGCAAAUAUUCAUGUAAUAAUUCAUUAAUUUAUAUGAGUAUACUACCAUUUUUUUGGUCACUCGUA
This is a long non-coding RNA of Macadamia integrifolia, 844 nucleotides long. RefSeq lists it as uncharacterized. The record is from RefSeq and is a predicted model, not a curated record. Lineage: Eukaryota; Viridiplantae; Streptophyta; Magnoliopsida; Proteales; Proteaceae. The transcript has 3 exons.